RNAcentral lists this long non-coding RNA (847 nucleotides) under Podarcis muralis (Common wall lizard). Its description in RNAcentral is "lncRNA (ENSPMRG00000023949.1)". Lineage: Eukaryota; Metazoa; Chordata; Lepidosauria; Squamata; Lacertidae. The record is from RNAcentral.
UUGGAGAAAUAGGAAAUCGAGAGAAACUGAAAUGAACUUAUUUGCUGAGCCCUAGUGCUCACAGCAAUAUAGGAACAACCUACAGAACAAGAGAACAACUUGCAUAACAUCUUUAUUAAUGCCCUGUUUCCUUUUCUCUUUUACUUCCAAGAUGCAGCAAUAACUUAUGAAAUGUAGUGUGAAGGCCAAGGACUUAAGACAGUUUUAAAAGGGGAUUAUACAGAUUCAUGGAAGAAAAGGCUGUCAAUGGCUCGUCAUCACGAUGGCCAUGCAUUUCAGCCAGAAUCAGAGGCGGCAUCUCUAAACACCAGUCGCUAAGGAACCACAGAAGGAGAAGGAGGGCGCUGCCCUCAUGUCCCUUAGGCAUCUGGCUGACCACUCAAGGAAACUGGAUGCUGGACGAGGUAGGAAGUUGAUCUGAUCCAGCAGAGUUCUUAUUAGGUCUGCAACUCAACACAAACACCUUGUUGAUGGUCAGUGGGCCAGCCAUGACUCCCUGCUCCCCGCAGCUUUUACUUAGCUGAAAUGCUGCUGGUCUCGUUGAGUGUAUCUCUCAGAUGGCACCAUCUCUUUUGAAAGGGAGAGACAUGCCAGGAGCACAUCAUCAGUCAGGCUCACACACAAAGGAGCAGAGAGACGGCAAGAAUCAUCCUGACAAACAAAGGGCUAGUUUCACAGGCCAGCGAUCAGCCCUUAAAAGCCUCCCUCCCCUCCCCACUCUAAUGGAAGAAGUGGCAGCUUCCGCAACAACAUGGAUGCGACCUUCUAGAGAACAAACACUAACAAGCUUUGGGAUGCUACAGUGUCCUACCUCGUGCCAAACAGCUCCAUGCACCUCAAAAGCUUU